RNAcentral lists this ribosomal RNA (195 nucleotides) under uncultured Lactobacillus sp. RNAcentral describes it as "partial 16S ribosomal RNA". It matches the Rfam family "Bacterial small subunit ribosomal RNA", at positions 338 to 525 of the family's 1533-position model. The record is from RNAcentral. Lineage: Bacteria; Bacillati; Bacillota; Bacilli; Lactobacillales; Lactobacillaceae.
CCUACGGGAGGCAGCAGUGGGGAAUCUUCCACAAUGGACGAAAGUCUGAUGGAGCAACGCCGCGUGAGUGAAGAAGGGUUUCGGCUCGUAAAACUCUGUUGUUAAAGAAGAACAUAUAUGAGAGUAACUGUUCAGGUAUUGACGGUAUUUAACCAGAAAGCCACGGCUAACUACGUGCCAGCAGCCGCGGUAAUA